ACAUCUCGUUAGAUCACCGAAGUCAAGCAUCAUUGGGCGCGGUCAGUACUUGGGUGGGUGACCACUUGGGAACACCGCGUGCCGUU
This is a non-coding RNA of Caerostris darwini, 86 nucleotides long. Lineage: Eukaryota; Metazoa; Arthropoda; Arachnida; Araneae; Araneidae. The record is from the annotation of a GenBank genome assembly.